CUCCGAGGCCACGUUCUGAAUCUUCACCUGCACCACCUCCCCUGUGUGUGUGUGUGUGUGUGUGUGUGUGUGUGUGUGGGGCAGGGGUGCCUGAUUUACUGGUUGU
Molecule: microRNA precursor, 106 nt
Filed under: Vicugna pacos (alpaca)
Lineage: Eukaryota; Metazoa; Chordata; Mammalia; Artiodactyla; Camelidae
Description: miRNA (ENSVPAG00000015609.1)
Source: RNAcentral